This 625-nucleotide long non-coding RNA is filed under the name Struthio camelus australis. RNAcentral's name for it is "lncRNA (ENSSCUG00000017093.1)". Lineage: Eukaryota; Metazoa; Chordata; Aves; Struthioniformes; Struthionidae. The record is from RNAcentral.
CAAAAUAUCCUGUGUUUUGCCAGCUGUAGCUGAUCCUUUAAUGAUAUAAUGCGAGUUUCUGUAUGUGAGUAUAUAAUAUGUAAAGCACGAAAGUCCAUUUGAAAUAAUGACUUAUCCUCAUGCGGAUCUUUGUCAAACAGGUCAUAUUUAUUCUUCUUUUUUUUUUUCGACUUCAGGAAUGUGUGUGCACAUAUAGAACAGGGGACGUAUAACAGCUGAUUUUACAACUGAACAUCCAUUCUGUUUUGCCUCGUAUGCACAUCUUAACCAGUUACGUAAAACGCGUUGGACCAAAAGUACUUUUGUGUGUAGUUUCAAAGCCACUGCUGCAGAUCACGGUACUCUGGAUGUCCACUCCUUGGUAUUAUUUUCCUAUUGAUGGUUAUAUGCCAAAGAAAAGCAGGAUGAUGAAAACCGCCAAAAAUUCUGAAUGCAUUUUUUAUUCUAUGGAAGACCGUGUGCACCCAUGUCUUCUAAGGACACUAAUAGGGGUCAGCAACUAGUGCUAAAUCUGGCCCUAAAUGUCAGGCGUUCAGCUGCGAAGAAAUGACUGUCUUGUUGCACCUGUAAGAGAGAACUCAACAUGAACAUGAGAUGGGAGAAAGUUCAGUAUUAUAAACACGGU